Molecule: ribosomal RNA, 253 nt
Filed under: uncultured bacterium
Lineage: Bacteria
Description: partial 16S ribosomal RNA
Rfam family: Bacterial small subunit ribosomal RNA
Source: RNAcentral
UACGAAGGGGGCUAGCGUUGCUCGGAAUCACUGGGCGUAAAGCGCACGUAGGCGGAUUGUUAAGUCGGGGGUGAAAUCCUGGAGCUCAACUCCAGAACUGCCUUUGAUACUGAAGAUCUUGAGUUCGGGAGAGGUGAGUGGAACUGCGAGUGUAGAGGUGAAAUUCGUAGAUAUUCGCAAGAACACCAGUGGCGAAGGCGGCUCACUGGCCCGAUACUGACGCUGAGGCACGAAAGCGUGGGGAGCAAACAGG